Molecule: non-coding RNA, 84 nt
Organism: Bombyx mori (domestic silkworm)
Lineage: Eukaryota; Metazoa; Arthropoda; Insecta; Lepidoptera; Bombycidae
Source: Rfam
UUAGCUCAUAUUUGUAUGGAGUUGGAACGUUUGCCUACGUUUGCCGCUAGGGGCGCUGUUCCAACUGCAUACAAAAUUAGCUUA